UGGCUUCUAGGGAGAGUUCAUGCUUGAACUGUUAUAAGACUCAUUUAUUUGUCUUUUUAGCAGUCUACAGAAUGCUUCUCUAGCAACAAAUCUCAAAUGAGUUGAUUUUCUUCCUAUCAGCUGUUUUAUAAAACCACUAAGGUACCUGUAAUCUUCAUAUGUCUAUCAUCAUACAUUGUAGAACAAGAUGUGAAUGUCCAUAUCAACCAUUCAACUCCCAGUCCGGUUGGCAACUAUGUGUGCCAAAUGAGAUGGAUUGCCAUUUUGACCUUCAACUCAGGAGCAGGUGAAGAACUUUGUCAUAGGUUGCCUUCAGCAUGGAAUCAGUAAGUGCAUGGAAAUAAUCUUUGACAGUUUGUCAUUCCUAAAUUGCUGUACUGAAUGACGAGUUCCAUUUGCAACAUCAUAAGGUGUCCUAGGAUGGACUUUCAUGGAUCAGGCAUUUGUUAAUUGCUGGAGACUCUAAAAAUAUGGCUACCCUAACAAUGUUGCCAUUUAAAAUACAGACAAGGAAAACCCAUCACAGUACCAGAAGCAACAUCCCUUGAAAAACAAGCAGAUAAUUCCCAAGUUAUGAAUAAGAUAGAUUCUGUAGGUUUGUUCUUAAGUUGAAUUUGUCACAUACACAGACACACACACACACACACACACACGUUUUGAAUGGCAUAGGGAAGAGUUAACACUCCUGUGGUCUUUGUUUUGCUGUUUGUGCCCGUGUUUAGAUUUCACCUCAAUUUCUGUCCUUCUGAUAAUUUAAUUUUGAAAAAAAUGGCUUGUUGUUGAAACAAGGAUUUGUAAUAACGCUUCAGUGGAGAUACCUUUUCACCACAGGUGCAUCCAGACAGCCAUUAAAAAGUGGAAGCUCCCGCAUUUUAAAGGAGGGCAUCCAUAAGAUGUCCCACAUAAAAGCGAUUGCAUUUGCCAACAAGCAGGAAAACAAUGCUUUGUAGCAAAUUAGUUUGAUAGCCUAUUAGACCUGGACCUUUGUGAAAGGCCCAGGUCUAAUGGGCUAUGGCCCUGUGUGGACAGGCCCACAGGGAGUCCUGGGACUUCCUUGCAGCCUGUCCAAAUACCCAUUCUGCACCUUCUGGGCUCCUGGAGCCCAGAAGGUACGA
This 1115-nucleotide long non-coding RNA is filed under the name Anolis carolinensis (green anole). Its description in RNAcentral is "lncRNA (ENSACAG00000040670.1)". Lineage: Eukaryota; Metazoa; Chordata; Lepidosauria; Squamata; Anolidae. The record is from RNAcentral.